CCUAAAUGGUGAAGAAUCUGCCUGCAAUGCAGGAGACCCAGGUUCAAUUCCUGG
This 54-nucleotide transfer RNA is filed under the name Bos taurus (domestic cattle). It matches the Rfam family "tRNA", at positions 10 to 63 of the family's 71-position model. Rfam says of the family: Transfer RNA (tRNA) molecules are approximately 80 nucleotides in length. Their secondary structure includes four short double-helical elements and three loops (D, anti-codon, and T loops). RNAcentral also lists the same sequence under 5 other names. Lineage: Eukaryota; Metazoa; Chordata; Mammalia; Artiodactyla; Bovidae. The record is from Rfam by way of RNAcentral.